This 524-nucleotide ribosomal RNA is filed under the name uncultured beta proteobacterium. RNAcentral describes it as "bacterial SSU rRNA". It matches the Rfam family "Bacterial small subunit ribosomal RNA", at positions 44 to 563 of the family's 1533-position model. The record is from RNAcentral. Lineage: Bacteria; Pseudomonadati; Pseudomonadota; Betaproteobacteria.
AUGCUUUACACAUGCAAGUCGAACGGCAGCGCGAACUUCGGUUUGGCGGCGAGUGGCGAACGGGUGAGUAAUAUAUCGGAACGUACCCAGUAGCGGGGGAUAACUACUCGAAAGAGUAGCUAAUACCGCAUACGCCCUACGGGGGAAAGGGGGGGAUCGCAAGACCUCUCACUAUUGGAGCGGCCGAUAUCGGAUUAGCUAGUUGGUGGGGUAAAGGCUCACCAAGGCGACGAUCCGUAGCUGGUUUGAGAGGACGACCAGCCACACUGGGACUGAGACACGGCCCAGACUCCUACGGGAGGCAGCAGUGGGGAAUUUUGGACAAUGGGGGAAACCCUGAUCCAGCCAUCCCGCGUGUGCGAUGAAGGCCUUCGGGUUGUAAAGCACUUUUGGCAGGAAAGAAAUCGCAUGGGUUAAUAACCUGUGUGGAUGACGGUACCUGCAGAAUAAGCACCGGCUAACUACGUGCCAGCAGCCGCGGUAAUACGUAGGGUGCAAGCGUUAAUCGGAAUUACUGGGCGUAA